AACGCGAAGAACCUUACCUACUCUUGACAUCCACGGAGUUCGGCAGAGAUGCCUUAGUGCCUUCGGGAACCGUGAGACAGGUGCUGCAUGGCUGUCGUCAGCUCGUGUUGUGAAAUGUUGGGUUAAGUCCCGCAACGAGCGCAACCCUUAUCCUUUGUUGCCAGCGAUUCGGUCGGGAACUCAAAGGAGACUGCCGGUGAUAAACCGGAGGAAGGUGGGGAUGACGUCAAGUCAUCAUGGCCCUUACGAGUAGGGCUACACACGUGCUACAAUGGCGCAUACAAAGAGAAGCGACCUCGCGAGAGCAAGCGGACCUCAUAAAGUGCGUCGUAGUCCGGAUCGGAGUCUGCAACUCGACUCCGUGAAGUCGGAAUCGCUAGUAAUCGUGGAUCAGAAUGCCACGGUGAAUACGUUCCCGGGCCUUGUACACACCG
RNAcentral lists this ribosomal RNA (434 nucleotides) under uncultured bacterium. RNAcentral's name for it is "bacterial SSU rRNA". It matches the Rfam family "Bacterial small subunit ribosomal RNA", at positions 958 to 1392 of the family's 1533-position model. The record is from RNAcentral.